UAGGGGGUGCAGCAAUGCAUCACCGGCGGACGGGUGCGUAACGCGUGGGAAUAUACCUAUUGGUUCGGAACAACUGCGGGAAACUGCAGCUAAUACCGAAUGUGCCCUCACGGGGAAAGAUUUAUCGCCAAUGGAUUAGCCCGCGUCCGAUUAGCUAGUUGGUGGGGUAAAAGCUCACCAAGGCUCCGAUCGGUAGCUGUUCUGAGAGGAAGAUCAGCCACACUGGGACUGAGACACGGCCCAGACUCCUACGGGAGGCAGCAGUUGGGAAUCUUGGACAAUGGGGGAAACCCUGAUCCAGCCAUGCCGCGUGAGUGAUGAAGGCCUUCGGGUUGUAAAACUACUUUCGACGGGGACGAUAAUGACGGUACCCGUAGAAGAAGCUCCGGCUAACUUAGUG
RNAcentral lists this ribosomal RNA (400 nucleotides) under uncultured bacterium. Its description in RNAcentral is "bacterial SSU rRNA". It matches the Rfam family "Bacterial small subunit ribosomal RNA", at positions 64 to 507 of the family's 1533-position model. The record is from RNAcentral.